RNAcentral lists this ribosomal RNA (442 nucleotides) under uncultured bacterium. Its description in RNAcentral is "bacterial SSU rRNA". It matches the Rfam family "Bacterial small subunit ribosomal RNA", at positions 954 to 1396 of the family's 1533-position model. The record is from RNAcentral.
GAUUAACGCGAAGAACCUUACCAGGGCUUGACAUGGGCAAGACGCGUCCAGAGAUGGGCGUUCCCGCAAGGGCUUGCCGCACAGGUGCUGCAUGGCUGUCGUCAGCUCGUGUCGUGAGAUGUUGGGUUAAGUCCCGCAACGAGCGCAACCCUCGCCUUCAGUUGCCAUCAGGUUUGGCUGGGCACUCUGAAGGAACUGCCGGUGACAAGCCGGAGGAAGGUGGGGAUGACGUCAAGUCCUCAUGGCCCUUAUGUCCUGGGCUACACACGUGCUACAAUGGCGGUGACAGCGGGAUGCCAGGUCGCAAGGCCGAGCCGAUCCCAAAAAGCCGUCUCAGUUCAGAUUGCACUCUGCAACUCGGGUGCAUGAAGGUGGAAUCGCUAGUAAUCGCGGAUCAGCACGCCGCGGUGAAUACGUUCCCGGGCCUUGUACACACCGAAUC